AUAGCGCUACAACCGCAUGGUUCCAGGUUGUUAAAUGGGUUGCAGCCCAUACCUGGAGCAGCGAGUCUGAGUGAAGGA
Non-coding RNA from Alicyclobacillus hesperidum, 78 nucleotides. Lineage: Bacteria; Bacillati; Bacillota; Bacilli; Caryophanales; Alicyclobacillaceae. The record is from Rfam.